AGCAGCCGCGGUAAUUCCAGCUCCAAUAGCGUAUAUUAAAGUUGUUGCAGUUAAAAAGCUCGUAGUUGAAUUUCGGGAUCAAUUAAUCGGUCGUGCCUCUGGUACGCACUGGUUUUAUUGGUUUCUCCCUUCUGACGAACCAGGAUGUCAUUAAUUUGGUGUCUUGGAGAAUCAGGACUGUUACUUUGAAAAAAUUAGAGUGUUUAAAGCAGGCUAACGCUUGAAUACAUUAGCAUGGAAUAAUGAAAUAGGACGUUUGAUCCUAUUUUGUUGGUUUCUAGGAUCGACGUAAUGAUUAAUAGGGAUAGUUGGGGGCAUUAGUAUUCAAUUGUCAGAGGUGAAAUUCUUGGAUUUAUUGAGGACUAACUACUGCGAAAGCAUUUGCCAAGGAUGUUUUCAUUAAUCAAGAACGAAAGUUAGGGGAUCGAAGACGAUCAGAUACCGUCGUAGUCUUAACCAUAAACUAUGCCGACUAGGGAUCGGAUGAUGUUAAUUUUUAAUGACUCAUUCGGCGCCUU
This 518-nucleotide ribosomal RNA is filed under the name uncultured Glomus. Its description in RNAcentral is "SSU rRNA". It matches the Rfam family "Eukaryotic small subunit ribosomal RNA", at positions 569 to 1089 of the family's 1831-position model. The record is from RNAcentral. Lineage: Eukaryota; Fungi; Glomeromycota; Glomeromycetes; Glomerales; Glomeraceae.